GCCUCAGCUCUACAAAGUCACCAGAGGCUUCUUCCUUAUUUUUGUGAAAGAUUUAUUGUAUGGCAAUAAAUCUGAAUGGUAAACUUUCAUUAUACUGGCAUUAAUUUUGACUAUUAGUUUGCUUAGAAAUUUGUACACGAAGUAAAAAUGUGUAAUGAUGCAACACAGGAUCAUCAUGUGUUCAGAUGGAAAUUAACAUCUGAUUUUACCCAAGAUCGGAGGCUGUUACUGCAUUGUGUCAUUUUAUCAACAAAGACUUCUGCCACAAUAUGUACUUUUAAAAGAAUGUGUCCCUUUCAGUAGCAUCUUCCCUAUCAAGAGUUCAAGGCACUUUGCAGAAAAGCUUCAGAAUUCUAACUCUAGUUCCCACAGUCACCCAUUGAGGCUGGUGUCAUACAAUCUAUGAACAACAACCUUGCAGCAGGACUGCCACCAUUCAGCAGUGCAGACAACACAGCUCAAGGACAAAGACAGAGAAAGGAAAGAGGAGAAGGUCCCUGAAGGUGAAGCAUAGAAAGUACACUGCACACACAGUUCUCUCUGGAAGGAAAGCACAGGAGCUGGGGAGUGGAUGAUGGGAAGUGGAAAGGACACAGGACCAGCGUCAGAACACUCAGCAACUUCCUAAGACCUUGCUAAGGUACAUCCAAGAGAAAUGUUUAGUGGGGGAAACUUUUAAGCACUAAACUUGUUAAUAUAUCAUACUUUAAGCAACAUUUCGUCCUUUAGAUUCUGGGGAGCCAGGGUUUUGCAUUGGGUGGUAGAGCUCUCCGCAGAACUGAGUCACUCUGCAUUUUCUUUGCAGAGUCAUAAAUUAGUUUCGGCACUUGCUGAUACUUCACAGGCUGGAGUUUGCAAGGUCAACCCUUUAGGUCUCUUAAUUCUCUCCUAGGCGCUAUCCCUGCAAUAUCAGUAGUUGCCACUUCAUUUUAGGGACUGAUCCUUAGGCCUUCUGACUCCAAAUUCGGAACUGUUUCAGUGUCCUACAUCACCUCCUGGAGUCAAAGAGGUCAGAGUUUCUAUUCAGUGAUGAAGAGCCAAGCUAGCUAUGCAUAUGAAGAACUGAAGUAGAUUAUAGCACACGAUCCACAGCAAAAAUGCAUAUUUAUUUUGUAUGAAUUAUAUUAAAACAUAAAGUUUAAUCUCAUUAGGGUAUAGCUAUUCGGAGGUCCCAUCCAAAGCAAGGAAGACUCACCAGUAGCCCCAAGACCCUUGGUCAGGUCGUACUCCAACCCCUAAUCUGACUUCACAAGGCUAUCUAAAUGUCAGCUACUCAGACACAGCCUCUGGCAUUAGCAAAAUCCCCUAGAGGAAAAGCAGCCCCAUAGAGCUGGACAAGUAAUACUUUAACUAUCUUGUUGGCUCUGGGAUCCUUCAAGCAAAUUUUAAAAAUAUUUUUACCAGAUUUCCAAGUUGUCCUUAGCUGGAAGGUUGGUCCUCCAUUACUGUCAUUGGACUAUUGCUCAUGGGUACUGCAGUUCAACUUCUAAACCACCUCAGUACCUGAAUGUGGUCGGAGGUGAAACCAGAUUACUGAUGCCUUCAGGUGCCCAGCUGAAGCAAAUGCAAAUUCUGUGGAGGAAGUGAACAUAACCCAAGGCCUCAAAUUAUUUCUGCAGUGUUGCAAUAAGAAAUACCCAGGUAUGGGAGAAGACCAGACAACAUUAAUUACUUGAAUUAAAACCAUUAGAGGAAAACAUAGACAAUAGAAAUAUCCAAAAGGACUCCAGAUACCUUAGUCACAGAAUUUAAAACAGCUAUGCUUACUGUGUUCAAAAAAAUGAGGCCGGGCGCGGUGGCUCAAGCCUGUAAUCCCAGCACUUUGGGAGGCCGAGACGGGCGGAUCACGAGGUCAGGAGAUCAAGACCAUCCUGGCUAACACGGUGAAACCCCGUCUCUACUAAAAAAUACAAAAAAACUAGCCGGGCGAGGUGGCGAGCAACUGUAGUCCCAGCUACUCGGGAGGCUGAGGCAGGAGAAUGGCGUAAACCCGGAGGCGGAGCUUGCAGUGAGCUGAGAUCCGGCCACUGCACUCCAGCCUGGGCAACAGAGCCAGACUCCCUCUCAAAAAAAAAAAAAAAAAAAA
This is a long non-coding RNA of Macaca fascicularis (crab-eating macaque), 2086 nucleotides long. Lineage: Eukaryota; Metazoa; Chordata; Mammalia; Primates; Cercopithecidae. The record is from Ensembl.